GUCCAUUUGAUGAUAUAAAUGGUCUGGCCUGCUCACUGAUAAAUAUAUUUAAGAGCCGCGGUAUUUUGACCGUGCAAAGGUAGCAUAAUCAUUAGGGGUUUAAUUGGAACCUGGAAUGAAGGGUUGGACAAAGGAGAAGCUGUCUCAGUAUUAUAAAUUGAAUUUUACUUUUAAGUGAAAAGGCUUAAAUAGAUCAAAGGGACGAUAAGACCCUAUAAAGCUUUAUAAAUUAUUUGGAUUCAGUUAAUUUAGAUUAUAAAAAUUGAAUUUAAUUAUUUUAUUUUAUUGGGGCGAUAUGAGUAUAAUUUUUAUUAACUGCUUAAAAGGAAUACAAGUUUAAGUGUUUGUAAAUUAAAUGAUCCUUUAUAAAGAUUAAAAGACUAAGUUACUUUAGGGAUAACAGCGUUAUUUCUUUUGAGAGUUCAUAUCGAAAAAGAAGAUUGCGACCUCGAUGUUGAAUUAAAAUAUCUAUAUAGUGCAGUCGUUAUAUAAGAGGGUCUGUUCGACCUUUAAAUUUUU
This 519-nucleotide ribosomal RNA is filed under the name Rhithropanopeus harrisii. RNAcentral's name for it is "partial 16S ribosomal RNA". It matches the Rfam family "Bacterial large subunit ribosomal RNA", at positions 1830 to 2597 of the family's 2925-position model. Lineage: Eukaryota; Metazoa; Arthropoda; Malacostraca; Decapoda; Panopeidae. The record is from RNAcentral.